ACCCUUGAGGGUACCCCCCCCCCCCCCCCCCACUCCUCCAGGACAGUUCUGUGCCACCCCAGACCAGGGGUGUCCAAUAUUAUCUGCAAAGGGCUGACAUUGUCCUCAGAUGCCACCUCGGCCUCAGUCUGUGAAAUUUGUGUCCAGCUAGAUCUGCCCCUGUCAAACGUAAGUGCUAUUAUUUUGAAAUGGAGACAAAGUAAACUCACAGAUCGGGGUCGCCGAGUGCUGAAGCACAUAGCGCCUAUCCUCUGUUGAAUCACUCACUACAGAGUUUCAAAGUGCCUCUGGAAGCAACAUCACCAAAGAACUGUGCCUUGGCAGCUUCAGAAAAUGGGUUUCACUGGCUGAGCAACUCCACACAAGCAUAAGAUCAAGAUGCACGAGUCCAAGCGUCGGGGGUGAGUUGUCUAAAGCACGCCUCUGCUGGACACUACUGGAAUUGUGUUCUCUGUAGUGAUGAGCUAUGCUUCACCACUUGGCAGUCUGAUGGACGAAUCUAGGUAUGUCAGACGCCAGGAGAACAGCACCUACCAGAAUGCACAGUGCAAAUAGUAAGGCAGAAGGGAUAAUGGUCUGGGGCUGUUUUUGAGGGUACAGACUCGACCCCUUAGGCUUUGUGGCAGCAGUUUGGGAAAGGACCUUUCCAAUGGCCUGCACAGAGCCCUGACCUCUAACUUGGAAUGGAAUGUGUAGGUGUUAAGAAACCUCAGGCGAUUUAGUUUAUGUAAAACUGCCAUUUCUCUGUAUGUGUGUGUCUUAAAGAGAGAGAGAGAGAGAGAGAGAGUAGUGGAGAAUCCCCAGUGACUUUUGUUCUGAUUUAACUCAGUCAGUUUUGUUUGUCUGUGUUCAUUGCCCCUGGUCGAUGGUGAAGAGUGGUCGAUGGUGGAGAGUGUCCAGAAUUCGCUUACAACUGAUUUUUCUCGUUAUCUAUCUGGCUAUGUGAGUGUAAAAUAGAACAGCUGUGCUGUUUUCUUUUAGUGUGAAGACAAAUAACACUAGUCAGCGGCAACACCACACGAAAAAGAAAAAAACGUUACAUUUUACCCGCUUGAUUUGAUAUUGAUUUGAUAUGUUACAGUACAUGUGAACGUAGAUACUUUUGUACUUUCACUGAAGUCUGUUUUUGGCCCUAAGCCUCCGCGUUAAACUGCAUAAGAUUUCAACACAAUGCCCAAACUUUCUCGGUGCUUUUAUGCCCCUGCUAAUCAGAGCACUGGAGAACAGUAACAGUAGUCACAGCAGUGCUCAUAACCGGAAGUACUUUACAGUCAGGUUAAAAUGCCAUUUGUACAGAAAACCAACUGGUAUGGGCAGUUUUAGAAGGCAGCCGAGGCACUCAGAGGCGGGAGUGAGACAGAGGGAGGGGAACAAACCCUGGUUACCUGGCAGGAGACAGAAAAGCAUUAGAAUGAACGAGAAAGAGCAAGUUCAAGAAGUGAUGAGGAAGGGAACCGAAUUCACCGAGAAGGAGGCCGAGGUCUACAACAGAGAUGACUGAAGGAAGACAGACAAUCCACAGUAGCUCUGUGCUUCACUCUAUGUUGAACAGAUCCAAGUCUAAUGAGAAGGUCAAGCCAUCCGGCCUACAUACGUCUAAAUGGUAUAGCCACCCCAAGGACACAGAUCAGAGCACGUGUGAAGUUACUGUGGACAAAUUGGAAUCAAAUUGUCCAAGGAGAGACCAUUCAGAUACCACAAACGAGCCUCAAAGUUUAGAGAGCGCAGUCAGGAAUGGUGCUGAUGAAGAAAUUACAAGAAAUGACAGACUGGGAACUGACUGUCAAACGUCCAGAGCUUCUCCAAGCAUACUUCUCAAACACAAGAGAAGGAAAUACACGUCUAAUCAUUUGCGCAAUCUGAUGAAGGAGAAAGAGGAAGAUCCAGAGACCAAAGGUCAGCUUGAGCGGGAAAGUGUGAGGGCGGAGCCUGUGCCAGAGAAGGAAACUUCUAGAGCGGAAUCACAUUUCAAUAAUGUGAAGGACAGUCCGACUCGGGAACAGUCAUUAAGCCAUGGCCCCAUACAGCUCUUGCUUCUCACCCCAGGCCGAAGUGUUAUCAAAGGAAAAACAGUGUCAAAUACAGAACUUGGACCAGCUCCCUCAAAACCACCCCUAUCCAAUGAAUGCCACCUUAGCUUUGAGAAGGAUGGAAAACCUAAGACUCAAGAACCUUCAGACAAGGACAAACACAUGGCUAAACAAGGUCUGGACUCAUGCAAGACCUUUGAGAAUCCAAUCAGUAGGCCAGCGCGACCUGUUUCUGAUCCGGUACCGAAUGAAAUAAGAAGUGAUAGAUCUCUCUCAGUCCCAAACAGCGGCUCUAUGGCAGAUAUGAACAAAGCUGACAUGCAUUUUGGCCAAGCAAAUGAAAUUCCAGAACAGACAGCCAUGCUGAAGGCAGCUAUGCCAGAGCCAGUGGACUACGAUGGCUCUAAAACCCAAAAGAGGGUGAAGACGAAGAACAUCACUCAAAAAUUAGUAGCAAGGUUGAAAGAGAAAAAUGGACGUGAGCAGAAGAGAAGCAGUAGGAGCAACCAUGAUGAUGAAGGGGAGGCACGAUCUGUUACUUCUAUGGAACAAGCAGAGUCACCAGUGAAGCUCCAGCCUAGCCCACCCAUCCCCCCCAAAGAGAACUCCACUACGGUGCAUGUCAAACUACAAAGGACUUUUACGUUACAAGAAUUCACGCUCAACCUGGAGCCCAUCAACUUACUGGAGGAGGUCCUUACAGGUGAAGAAUGGGCGAGGUUCCUGCCUGCCAAAAAAGGCUCACCACAAGCUGAAUCCAAUGCCCGUUUACAGACAGAGAGCUCUGUUCCAUUGGAUGAUGUCCAGUCUCACAGUUUGGUUGUAAAGCAGGAACUAUCAGCAAAGAAAGAUGAAAGUCAUUCAGAUGUAGAUGAGAUUAGUAUUAGUGACACCACUUUAGACAAGGUCAGCCAGUCACGUCAAAGACAAGACAAGCCACACUCAGCCAUAUUUGCUGUUCCGAAGGCACUAAUAACUAACGCUGCAGUAAAACAAAGAAGAUCCGAAGUACCACAGUAUGAACCCUCCAGUGACGAUGAUGUUUAUGACUUCGUGGAGGUGUACAUGUUUCCAAAGGAGGAGCCAUUGAACAAGUCAAAGGCGAAGGAACUACCACUCGACGUGUCUGCAGUUAAGUCUUUAGGAGUCUUAGACAAUUCUGCACUUAAAAGUCGAAUCCACUUGAGCAAAAAGAGGAUGCAUCGACCACCGAAAAAGAGGAUAAAGGAGAAGCCAGAAGACACACAGUUUUCCAAAUUCUACACAUCCUGCACCCCUGUGGACCUUUCGCACCACUUCAGUGCCUCUACAACCUCAUCCUCCGAUAAGUCUGCCAUUGCCUCGUCUGUAUUUUACACUAAUGUCACAAAUUGGACACAAUCCUGUGACUCUGAAACUUCACCACCUACACCUGCUGAUGAGAAGGUUAGUCAGAGCAAGCUUGUAACAAUGUCUGACUGAGUCUCACUGAAUUACUAGAUAUUACAAUGAUCAUUAAAUUAAUGAUGCUGUGUUUAAACCUUGCUAUAUUUCCAAAUGUAUUAUUAACUUCAUAAUCCAUACAAUCCAUAUAUGGAAACUAAACUGCAAAUGCAGUCCAUUUUAAAUUCACCGAUUUGUUAUGUGAGGUAAACUAAAGCAUUUACUUUUACAAUUUCUUCUAUUUGUCACACUUGAAUGUUUCAGAUUAUCAAGCUACCUGGGUUAUCUCUAAAAUAGGAAAUUUUUAUGGGAGAAAAAUGCUGUUCAGCCCUGCCUGGCCCUAUGUGACAAAGUAAUUGCCCCUUAGCCACUCAAUCAAGCAGUUAACCAAAUUCACUUGAUUAUUGGGUUCAAUCACUUAAACAUCACUUAAAUAGAACCUGUCUGGCAACAUGAAGCAGGACAGAAGGCCUCAAAACGCAGCACAUGAUGCCACGUUCUAAAGAGAUUCAAAUACGGAUAUGAAACAAAGUCGUUGAAAUCUACCCCUAUGGAAAGGGUUACAAAGCCGUUGAUAAGGAUCUGGGUCUCCAGCAAACCACAGUGAGAGCCAUUAUUUACAAAUGGAGAAAACUCGGAACAGUAGUGGACUUUCCCAGGAGUGGCUCCCUACCAAUAUUUCACCAAGAGCGCAUCAGUGUCUCAUCCAGGAAGUCACAAAAGAACCCAGACAAACAUCUAAAGUACUCAACUAAAAGCCAAAGAGAAGGUCAUAAAACCAAAGCUGUGGAGGCCAAAGACAUAGUU
Molecule: RNA transcript, 4259 nt
Organism: Pygocentrus nattereri (red-bellied piranha)
Lineage: Eukaryota; Metazoa; Chordata; Actinopteri; Characiformes; Serrasalmidae
Exons: 7
Source: RefSeq, a predicted model, not a curated record